RNAcentral lists this non-coding RNA (381 nucleotides) under Pongo abelii (Sumatran orangutan). Lineage: Eukaryota; Metazoa; Chordata; Mammalia; Primates; Hominidae. The record is from RNAcentral.
AGUGAGUUCUCACAAGAUAUGGUUGUUUAAAAGUUGUCCCAGCAUCAGCUAUUGAGGCUGAUAAGCAAAAGGGAGCUGCUGUGCAAUUUCAGGAUUGGUGCUGACAUCUUCACCUGUGCUCACACCGUCUGCUUCCACUCACUCAUAAUCCUGUUCUCUCUCUUGAAAGAAAGGCUAAUCAGGAUAAAUAUGCUAGUCUGCCUUACUUGGAUGGUGGAAGGACAGAGAGCAGUGUUAGAAUCACUGUUUCACUACCAGCUGACAUCUGCAUGGUUCUCCUGGGUAAGGACCAGCAACAAGACUGUCUUGUGUGUCCUUUUUCUUCCUAGUUCCUCCCUUCUCUCUGAUUAACACUAAUCCAAUAAAAAUUUCUCAAAACUA